This is a long non-coding RNA of Capsicum annuum, 557 nucleotides long. RefSeq lists it as uncharacterized. The record is from RefSeq and is a predicted model, not a curated record. The transcript is spliced from 2 exons. NCBI's taxonomy places the organism in Eukaryota, Viridiplantae, Streptophyta, Magnoliopsida, Solanales, Solanaceae.
UCCAUCUACUUCCACGUGGAAGUGAAGGGAUGGACCUUGUGCGUUAAAGUUUCUUUUGUGGCCAGCAAUUAAGAUCUGUGUGGGUGGCAAAAUUAUUAAAGUAAGUUAAAUGUAACUUUCUUCUUGGCCACUAUAAGUCAAAAAGGAAAGAGAACCAGUUUUCUCUAAUUACUACUCUCUGUUUUUACGCUUAUGGCUUUAUGAUCCAGUGGGGGUCGUGAAAAAAGAAGAGAAUCAAAGGAAAAAUAAAUUAUCCAUAUCAUCAUGUCCAGGCUCGUGUUUUAGUUGUGUUAUCUGGAAGUUUCGCGGAAGUCCAGCUAGAUCCGGCAUGGCGAGCUUGCUAUCGUUCGAGGUUGUUCCUCCUCUAUCUACUCUAGCUAGUCUUUUGCACUCGAAAUUGCUUGUGUAUAUUGUGUACAUUUUAGAUUUUAUCUAGUACUCUGAGUGCCUGUUAGUAGUGGCUCCAGUACCGACCUUAUCAGGUCUUGGGAAUAAUUCUUUUGUGUAUUUGGUCCUUUUCCACUCCUUGUUUCAGUAUAUGAGAUAUUUUUACUUUC